GCGCACCAGUCGAGAAUUUUCUCAAUGGGGCAACCCUGAAGGAGCGACGCCGCGUGGAGGAUGAAGGCUUUCGGGUUGUAAACUCCUGUCAUUUGAGAACAAGUGUAGCCACUUAACUACUGGCUACUUGAUAGUAUCAGAAGAGGAAGGGACGGCUAACUCUGUGCCAGCAGCCGCGGUAAUACAGAGGUCCCAAGCGUUGUUCGGAUUCAUUGGGCGUAAAGGGUGCGUAGGUGGCGCCGUAAGUGGGGUGUGAAAUUUCGGAGCUUAACUCCGAAACUGCAUUCCAUACUGCGGUGCUUGAGGACUGGAGAGGAGACUGGAAUUCAUGGUGUAGCAGUGAAAUGCGUAGAGAUCAUGAGGAAGACCAGUGGCGAAGGCGGGUCUCUGGACAGUUCCUGACACUGAGGCACGAAGGCUAGGGGAGCGAACGGGAUUAGAUACCCGCGUAGUCCCUGAA
This 460-nucleotide ribosomal RNA is filed under the name uncultured organism. Its description in RNAcentral is "bacterial SSU rRNA". It matches the Rfam family "Bacterial small subunit ribosomal RNA", at positions 346 to 801 of the family's 1533-position model. The record is from RNAcentral.